Molecule: ribosomal RNA, 399 nt
Filed under: uncultured bacterium
Lineage: Bacteria
Description: bacterial SSU rRNA
Rfam family: Bacterial small subunit ribosomal RNA
Source: RNAcentral
GACGAACGCUGGCGGCGUGCUUAACACAUGCAAGUCGAGCGGUAAGGGCCCUUUCGGGGGUACACGAGCGGCGAACGGGUGAGUAACACGUGGGUGACCUGCCCUCAGCUCUGGGAUAAGCCUGGGAAACCGGGUCUAAUACUGGAUAUGACUCCAUGACGCAUGUUGUGGGGUGGAAAGCCUUGUGCGGCUGAGGAUGGGCCCGCGGCCUAUCAGCUUGUUGGUGGGGUGANGGCCUACCAAGGCGACGACGGGUAGCCGGCCUGAGAGGGCGACCGGCCACACUGGGACUGAGACACGGCCCAGACUCCUACGGGAGGCAGCAGUGGGGAAUCUUGCGCAAUGGGCGAAAGCCUGACGCAGCGACGCCGCGUGAGGGAUGACGGCCUGGUUGUAACU